Molecule: ribosomal RNA, 354 nt
Filed under: Bifidobacterium bifidum
Lineage: Bacteria; Bacillati; Actinomycetota; Actinomycetes; Bifidobacteriales; Bifidobacteriaceae
Description: bacterial SSU rRNA
Rfam family: Bacterial small subunit ribosomal RNA
Source: RNAcentral
GGGUGGUAAUGCCGGAUGUUCCACAUGAUCGCAUGUGAUUGUGGGAAAGAUUCUAUCGGCGUGGGAUGGGGUCGCGUCCUAUCAGCUUGUUGGUGAGGUAACGGCUCACCAAGGCUUCGACGGGUAGCCGGCCUGAGAGGGCGACCGGCCACAUUGGGACUGAGAUACGGCCCAGACUCCUACGGGAGGCAGCAGUGGGGAAUAUUGCACAAUGGGCGCAAGCCUGAUGCAGCGACGCCGCGUGAGGGAUGGAGGCCUUCGGGUUGUAAACCUCUUUUGUUUGGGAGCAAGCCUUCGGGUGAGUGUACCUUUCGAAUAAGCGCCGGCUAACUACGUGCCAGCAGCCGCGGUAAU